This 75-nucleotide transfer RNA is filed under the name Clostridium botulinum. Its description in RNAcentral is "tRNA-Cys". It matches the Rfam family "tRNA". From Rfam's summary of the family: Transfer RNA (tRNA) molecules are approximately 80 nucleotides in length. Their secondary structure includes four short double-helical elements and three loops (D, anti-codon, and T loops). Further hydrogen bonds mediate the characteristic L-shaped molecular structure. tRNAs have two regions of fundamental functional importance: the anti-codon, which is responsible for specific mRNA codon recognition, and the 3' end, to which the tRNAs corresponding amino acid is attached (by aminoacyl-tRNA synthetases). tRNAs cope with the degeneracy of the genetic code in two manners: having more than one tRNA (with a specific anti-codon) for a particular amino acid; and 'wobble' base-pairing, i.e. permitting non-standard base-pairing at the 3rd anti-codon position. The record is from RNAcentral. Lineage: Bacteria; Bacillati; Bacillota; Clostridia; Eubacteriales; Clostridiaceae.
GGCACUAUAGCCAAGUGGUAAGGCAGAUGUCUGCAAAACCUUUAUUUCCCAGUUCAAAUUUGGGUGGCACCUCCA